This 240-nucleotide unclassified non-coding RNA is filed under the name soil metagenome. RNAcentral's name for it is "partial contains 5.8S ribosomal RNA, internal transcribed spacer 2, and large subunit ribosomal RNA". The record is from RNAcentral.
AACUGAUACUACCUGCGGGAACCUGCGGAGGGAUCAUUAAAGAGUUAGGGUCGUCCAGGCCCGACCUCCCAACCCUAUGUUUUCUUAAACCACUGUUGCUUCGGCGGGUCCGUCUUAGACCGCCGGGGGACUGUUAUAGGUCCUCUGGCCCGCACCCGCCGGUGGCCAACCUUCACAAACUCUUGAUUAAACGUGUCCUUGUCUGAGUAAAUGAAAAUAUAUCAAAGCAAAAAACUUUCA